This 22-nucleotide non-coding RNA is filed under the name Mus musculus (house mouse). Its record names the gene mmu-miR-463-3p. The record is from miRBase by way of RNAcentral. Lineage: Eukaryota; Metazoa; Chordata; Mammalia; Rodentia; Muridae.
UGAUAGACACCAUAUAAGGUAG